UACGUAGGGACCAAGCGUUGUUCGGAUUUACUGGGCGUAAAGGGCGCGUAGGCGGCUUAACAAGUCACUAGUGAAAUCUCCGGGCUUAACUCGGAACGGCCAAGUGAAACUGUCAAGCUAGAGUGCGGAAGGGGCAAUCGGAAUUCUUGGUGUAGCGGUGAAAUGCGUAGAUAUCAAGAGGAACACCUGAGGUGAAGACGGGUUGCUGGGCCGACACUGACGCUGAUGCGCGAAAGCCAGGGGAGCAAACGGG
RNAcentral lists this ribosomal RNA (253 nucleotides) under uncultured bacterium. RNAcentral describes it as "partial 16S ribosomal RNA". It matches the Rfam family "Bacterial small subunit ribosomal RNA", at positions 524 to 776 of the family's 1533-position model. The record is from RNAcentral.